This is an RNA transcript of Lampris incognitus (smalleye Pacific opah), 2482 nucleotides long. It is a transcript of the gene named suppression of tumorigenicity 7 like, with no coding region annotated. The record is from RefSeq and is a predicted model, not a curated record. The transcript is spliced from 16 exons. Lineage: Eukaryota; Metazoa; Chordata; Actinopteri; Lampriformes; Lampridae.
CAUGGAGGAGUCUGCCGGUGCUAGCCCUCAGACUCUCGGCUUUGUGGAGAAAUUGAAGUCUUGGCUCUCCUGGUCUUGGACUUACAUCUGCUUGGUCUGGUUCUGUAUGGUGGUGGUGAUGAUUUACGUCCUGAGAAGUCCCCUGAAACUGCAGGAGAGCUUCGCCUCAGCAUCUGUCUUCUUGAGCACAUUGACACCUAAAUUCUACGUGGCCCUCACUGGAACUUCCUCUCUCAUCUCCGGACUCAUCCUGAUAUUUGAGUGGUGGUAUUUUCGAAAAUACGGGACUUCAUUCAUUGAGCAAGUGUCAGUGAGCCACCUGCGUCCUCUCCUCGGUGGGGUGGAGAGCAGCUCCACCACGGGUCUGUUCUCAUCAGUCAACGGCGAGGCCGAGCCGAGGCCCAGUGUUUCAGAAUGUAAGGUCUGGAGGAACCCUUUGAAUUUGUUUAGAGGAGCCGAAUACAGCAGGUACACCUGGGUCACUGGAAAGGAGCCCUUAACGUACUAUGAUAUGAACUUGUCUGCUCAAGACCACCAGACCUUCUUCACAGGAGACACCCAGCAGCUGAGGCCAGAGGACACUGUGAUGCAGAAAGCCUGGAGAGAGAGAAACCCUCAGGCCAGGAUCAGAGCAGCCUACCAGGCCAUAGAAAUGAACCAUGAAUGUGCUGCUGCCUAUGUGCUUCUAGCAGAGGAAGAGGCCACCACUAUUACAGAAGCAGAGCGCCUUUUUAAACAAGCGCUGAAAAGUGCUGGAAAAGAUAUCAACCUACUGGUCUACAUCAAACGCCGUCUGGCAAUGUGUGCCCGCAAACUGGGACGGAUCAAGGAAGCAGUAAAAAUGAUGAGAGAUUUAAUGAAAGAGUUCCCACUGUUGGGAAUGUUAAAUAUACAUGAAAACCUAUUAGAGGCACUUCUAGAACUACAGGCAUAUGCUGAUGUGCAAGCAGUGCUCGCCAAAUACGAUGACAUCAGUUUGCCAAAAUCAGCGACAAUAUGCUACACAUCUGCACUGCUGAAAGCACGAGCUGUCUCAGAUAAAUUCUCACCAGAGGCAGCGUCCCGGCGGGGGCUGAGCACUGCAGAGAUGAACGCCGUGGAGGCCAUACACAGAGCUGUGGAGUUCAAUCCGCAUGUGCCAAAGUAUUUAUUAGAGAUGAAGAGCCUGAUCCUGCCCCCAGAGCACAUCCUGAAGAGAGGCGACAGCGAGGCAGUGGCAUACGCCUUCUUCCACCUGCAGCACUGGAAGAGGGCAGAAGGAGCCUUAAACCUCCUGCACUGCACCUGGGAGGGCACCUUCCGGAUAAUUCCCUAUCCUCUGGAGAAGGGGCACCUGUUUUACCCCUACCCAGGAUGUACAGAAACAGCAGAUAGGGAACUAUUGCCCUCUUUCCAUGAGGUGUCUGUGUAUCCAAAGAAAGAGCUUCCCUUCUUCAUCCUCUUCACAGCAGGCCUCUGCUCCUUCACCGCCAUGCUGGCCAUGCUUACACACCAGUUUCCUGAGCUCAUGGGCGUCUUUGCCAAAGCAUUGUAUCCGGCCAAUUACCCCACUCUUGCAAGCCGUCCCGGUCGCUGCUCCACCCCCUCUGCCAAUCCGGGAAGGGUUGCAAACUACCACGUGUCUCCUCCAAUACAUGUGGAGUCGCCAGGCGCUUCGUUUCACCUGACAGUGAGGAGUUUCGGCAGGGGGACGUAGCGCGUGAGCAUAUCACGCCAUUCCCCCCAGUCCCCCCCCCUCCGAACAGGCGCUCCGACCCGACCAGAGGAGGCAGUAGUGCAGCGACCAGCACACAUACCCACAUCUGGCUUCCCACCUGCAGACAUGGCCAAUUGUGUCUGUAGGGACACCUGACCAAGCCAGAAGUAACACGGUGAUUCGAACCGGCGAGCCCCGUGUUGGUAGACAGGGGUGCAGACUCAUCAGGGGUGAAAAAAGUGACAAGAACAUGGACCCUAAUGGGGGGUCUGGGGGUGUGCCCCCAGGAAAAAAAAGAGUUAUUGGUUGUCCACCGUGGCUUUUAGUAUUGACCAAAUGUACCCAACAAGAGCUGUAAGCUGACCCGGUGGUGUGCUGUGUGUGUGGGAGAGCAACGUGUCAGCAGUGAGAGGUGAAGGGACAGACUGGUAAUGUUGUACUGACACAUACAGUGUCGGUGUUACCCCGCAGCAAACUUACAUGGCUUUGCUAACAGUCUUUUUUUACAUUACUCUGCUAAAAUGUGAACAAAAAGCUUCUUUGCUUGUUUACCACUUUCACUCCAUACUUGGACCAGUGAUACUUGAAUAUUUAAGUUCUCAAUAUUUGAAAAAGUUUCAUUAGUUGUUUUGGUUGGGGUUUUUUUUUCCUUUGUUUUUUCGCAACUAAAAGAAAUGGCUUUUUGCUGAGGGCAAGAGAACAAUCCACCCCUUGUAACUAUUGUGAUGAGUUUGUAAACUCAUGAUAAAUUGAUCAUUGAAUGUAAUAAAAUGCAUUUCUGUUGAA